This 1121-nucleotide ribosomal RNA is filed under the name uncultured heterolobosean. RNAcentral describes it as "SSU rRNA". It matches the Rfam family "Eukaryotic small subunit ribosomal RNA", at positions 751 to 1828 of the family's 1831-position model. The record is from RNAcentral. Lineage: Eukaryota; Heterolobosea.
UCGAUCGUGAACAAAUCAAUGUGAUCCAAGCAGGCAUUGCAUUUGAAAGCUCGAAUAUAUUAGCAUGAAACCCAAUAUAUAAGCUGUUACACUCGUGUAGCAGUUGAUUGUAUAAUAGGAGGCUGAAAUACGAUACUGGUAUUGCUGGCGCAGAGGUGAAACUCCGACAUUCUAGCAAGACCACCUGAAGCGAAAGCUGACAUAUCUUUCACGCCUCCAUUGAUCAGGAACGAAAGUUAGGGGAUCGAAGAUGAUUAGAUACCGUCGUAGUCCUAACUGUAAACCAUACCGCCAGGCGAUUGGUAAGAAACAAACGCGAUCUCCUCAGAAGCCCAGGGAAACCAAAAGGUAUUGGGUUCUGGGGGAAGUAUAGUUGCAAGGCCGAAACUUAAAGGAAUUGACGGAAAGGCACCACCAGGGGUGGAGUCUGCGGCUCAAUUCGACUCAACACGGGAAAACUCACCAAGGCAGUAUAGUAUAAUGAUUGACAAGUUAAUAGCCUUUUCUUGAUGCUCUAAUAGGUGGUGCAUGGCCGUUCUUAGUUCGUGGAGUGAUCUGUCUAGUUAAUUCUGUUAACGAACGAGACCUUUACCAUUGAUUGCAUGGUUGUUCGUUUACUUCGGUGAACACAGCCUUACAGUAGUGUGUGACUUUGUCUCCACUACAGUUAUACUACAAUGGGACGAUACAGCAAUCAAAGCGUAAGGAAGUUAGAGGCAAUAACAGGUCUGUGAUGCUCUAAUAUGUCUUGGGCUGCACGCGUACUACAAUGGUGCUACCAACAUGUAAGCACAGAUCAAGUCUAUGCACUAGCAUUAGACGAGACUCUCCAACGUUACUAAGACGGAGGUAAACACUAAAGUGGCAUCCUGUCUGGAAUAGAAGACUGUAAUGUCAACUUGAACAAGGAAUCCCUUGUAAGCGUGAGUCAACAUCUCGCAUUGACUACGUCCCUGCCUUUUGUACACACCGCCCGUCGCUCCUACCGUUGGAUUUGAAGGUGAGCUUGGUGGAUGUCACAUACAUUGCUUGCAGUGUAUACAGAAACCAAACAAAUCUUCUUGUCUGUAGGAAGGAGAAGUCGUAACAAGGUUUUCGUAGGUGAACCUGCAGAAGGAUCA